AGUGAACGCUGGCGGCGUGCCUAAUACAUGCAAGUCGAACGCGAAAGUCCUUCGGGAUGAGUAAAGUGGCGCACGGGUGAGUAAUGGUUGAGAACGUGCCCUGAGGUGGGGAAUAACAGUUGGAAACGACUGCUAAUACCGCAUGGUUUCGAAAGAAUAAAGGUGGGGAUCGCAAGACCUACCGCCACAGGAUCGGCUCAACUCCCAUUAGCUAGUUGGUAGGGUAAUGGCCUACCAAGGCAACGAUGGGUAUCUGGUCUUAGAGGAUGAUCAGACACACUGGAACUGAGACACGGUCCAGACUCCUACGGGAGGCAGCAGUAGGGAAUAUUGCACAAUGGGGGAAACCCUGAUGCAGCAACGCCGCGUGAGUGAAGAAGGCCCUUGGGUUGUAAAGCUCUUUAGCCUGGAAAGAAGUGGCUGUAAGUAAAUAAUUUGCAGGUGUGACGGUACCAGGAGAAUAAGGACCGGCUAAUUUCGUGCCAGCAGCCGCCGUAA
Molecule: ribosomal RNA, 498 nt
Filed under: uncultured bacterium
Lineage: Bacteria
Description: partial 16S ribosomal RNA
Rfam family: Bacterial small subunit ribosomal RNA
Source: RNAcentral